Molecule: ribosomal RNA, 253 nt
Filed under: uncultured bacterium
Lineage: Bacteria
Description: partial 16S ribosomal RNA
Rfam family: Bacterial small subunit ribosomal RNA
Source: RNAcentral
GACGAACCGUGCGAACGUUGUUCGGAAUCACUGGGCUUAAAGGGCGCGUAGGCGGGCUCACAAGUCAGGGGUGAAAGCCCACGGCUCAACCGUGGAAGGGCCUUUGAUACUGUGGGCCUCGAGGGGGGUAGGGGCGUGCGGAACUUCCGGUGGAGCGGUGAAAUGCGUAGAGAUGUGGAGGAACACCAGUGGCGAAGGCGACUCUUUGGUCUGUAACUGACGCUGAGGCGCGAAAGCGUGGGGAGCAAACAGG